Molecule: long non-coding RNA, 2218 nt
Organism: Anguilla rostrata (American eel)
Lineage: Eukaryota; Metazoa; Chordata; Actinopteri; Anguilliformes; Anguillidae
Exons: 3
Source: RefSeq, a predicted model, not a curated record
GAAAUAAAUCGCUGUGAACUACACUACCCACAAGGCAUAAAACCAUCAUGAUCAGCGCAACAACCUCUUUCGCCCAAAUGCUGCAGAAACGAUCCACCGCAUAUUGGGGAAAUUAGCCAGCUGAUACUUCUGCUAAUGUCCAGUGGUGAUGUUCGGCAGCCUCUCAGCGAGUAGUCUGCAGGUGAGUCUACCAGCAGUGGGAGAGCAGCAGUGACACCAUGGCCAGAGAGGAGGCUGUGAGCACACUGGUCAUACGGGAGACUCCACUGGGGGAUGCAGCUGGAUGUGGAAAAAGCCAUUUCAAAAAGGCCCCAACACAGCCAUCAGGUGAAACUUCCACUUAUUUGGUUUCCGAAAAGUCCUUGGUGCAAUUGAUAGUUUGCAAAUGCCCAUCAGGGCACCGACUGAGGAAACAAACACACUUUUGUGUGAAUAAAAUGGUAGAGCCCUCUGUAAACAUACAAGCUGUAUGUCAUGCCAGUUACAGAGGCUAUUCGAUUCUGUAGGUACAUAUCCUGGGAGCACACACAACAGCUUGCAACUGGAGCAACUGUGAUUUAUGUCACUGCUUUGUCACAGGUGAUAUUACUGAUGGAUGGCUUCUAGGUGACAGUGGUAGGUUUAAUGUGAAUAUUACAAAUAGCACAACGCCUAACGUUACUAUGAAGUCUAUGCUAAAUUAGGUGAACUGGGGAGACACAAUAGUUAAAAUAAAUCAUUAAAAUUACAUUUUUAAAUUACAAUGUAUUCGUAGUCAUAAUUCAUUCUGACCCCAAGUGAAAUUUCUCCACCCCCAUGAAACCUUGGCUUCUGACACCUGUGGCCAGCCCACACAGAGCAGAGGAGCGGCACAAUGGUGUGCACAAAAGCAAAAGUAUGAUACAAAACCAAAAAGAGGAAGAACAAUAGCAAAUUUACUGAUUGCCAAUGUGAAUGCUCCAGUGACAUGUUUGCUUGCAAUUUAGAUUUCUACGUAAAAUUCUACAAAAAAAUAGAAAUUGAUCACAUCUCAUAGAUCGCUGCUCACAUGUCACAACUUUCGUGAAGCUCAGCCAUGUCACUCUCCUUUUCAUCUCCCUCCACUGGCUGCCUAUUUCAGCUUGCAUCAAAUUCAAAACCUUAGUGUUAGCCCAUUGGGCAGCAAAAGGGACAACUCUGUUCUGUCUUCAAAAUAUCAUCAGACCCUAUACACCUACCAGACCCCUCCUGCUACCUCUGGGGAUCUGGCGCCUCCCACCUCCCUGCAUCCAGGUCACCACUCCUAUCUGUUCUGGCCCCCCCGAUGGUGGAAUGAGUUUCCUACUGCAAUCAAAACAGCAGAAACCCAGCCCAUAUUCAAACACAUAACUGAAGACUAACCCAUUCAGAUUGGACCAUGGCUCCCCUCACCCCAUCUAGUUAACUUUUCUUUUUCUCUUUCUUUCUUUGGCUUUCCCUUUGAAUAAUUGUAUAGUUGUAGCUGUGUAAAGAUUGUGUAAAGGUUAUCUGUUUAGUGGAACUUUUUAAGUUGUGAUACAAAUUGUUGUUUGUUAGGUUAACAUUACACUUACUGAUUAAUGUGCCUCUGUGCCUACUUGGUGAUAUCACAUUUUUGUAUUCCUGAGAGUUAGAUUGAGAGUUCUAUAUCACUGUAUGUGUGUCUGCUAUGUGUAGUGUAAAGCGACUGCUAACUUGUAAUGUAAUGAUUAGGUUUGCUUCACACCCAUAUAAAAUGUAUCUCCGUCAACUAUGUUUGAUUAAAACGCAUUGAUUUGCAUUGUUUAUAGGGUUGUGGCAUAGAACUGAAAUGUUUUGCUUUAAAUGGUUUUUUAUUUUGAAAUCCGUUUAAAAAAAUUUUCCUGUAAAAAAUAAAACAGAAAGACUGGCGGAAAAAACUGUAAUACUUUUGUGACCGUACAUGUAUCAAGCUUUUUAAACCAUAUAGCAGCCAUUGACUUGGGUAUAUGAUUUAGUGGAUAAUUUAGUGGAUUAUCCACCUUGGAAAAUGACCACCUUGCCUGCCAAUUUUUAGAACAUUUGUUUCUGAUGACUUAGAGUAAAUGUACAUUUUUUUCUACUCCAAUCACUUAUUAUUAUUAUUAUUAUUGUUGUUGUUGUUGUUGUUGUUUUAAAACCAUAAUUAUAAUAUGUAAUAUUAUAAUACAUUUUGUUUGUAGAACAUCUUUCAGGCAGAAUUUUCAGCUCAAAUGUGUUCAUAUAAAAGUAUAAUAAAAACAGG